RNAcentral lists this ribosomal RNA (1362 nucleotides) under uncultured bacterium. RNAcentral's name for it is "16S ribosomal RNA". It matches the Rfam family "Bacterial small subunit ribosomal RNA", at positions 28 to 1381 of the family's 1533-position model. The record is from RNAcentral.
GAUGAACGCUAACGACAGGCUUAACACAUGCAAGUCGAGGGGCAGCAGGGGAGUAGCAAUACUCCCGCUGGCGACCGGCGCACGGGUGAGUAACACGUAUGCAACCUGCCCUUGUCAGGGGGAUAAGCGGAAGAAAUUCCGUCUAAUACCGCAUAACGCUGCGGGGAGACAUCUCCCUGCAGCCAAAGAUUUAUCGGACAAGGAUGGGCAUGCGGCGCAUUAGCUUGUUGGCGGGGUAACGGCCCACCAAGGCGACGAUGCGUAGGGGUUCUGAGAGGAAGGUCCCCCACACUGGUACUGAGACACGGACCAGACUCCUACGGGAGGCAGCAGUGAGGAAUAUUGGUCAAUGGCCGGGAGGCUGAACCAGCCAAGUCGCGUGAGGGAAGACGGUCCUAUGGAUUGUAAACCUCUUUUGUCAGGGAGCAAAAACUGCCACGCGUGGCAGGAUGAGAGUACCUGAAGAAAAAGCAUCGGCUAACUCCGUGCCAGCAGCCGCGGUAAUACGGAGGAUGCGAGCGUUAUCCGGAUUUAUUGGGUUUAAAGGGUGCGUAGGCGGACAGUUAAGUCAGCGGUAAAAUUGAGAGGCUCAACCUCUUCCCGCCGUUGAAACUGAUUGUCUUGAGUGGGCGAGAAGUAUGCGGAAUGCGUGGUGUAGCGGUGAAAUGCAUAGAUAUCACGCAGAACUCCGAUUGCGGAGGCAGCAUACCGGCGCCCAACUGACGCUGAAGCACGAAAGCGUGGGUAUCGAACAGGAUUAGAUACCCUGGUAGUCCACGCAGUAAACGAUGAAUACUAAUUGUUCGGGUCGAGUGAGAUCUGAGUGAUACAGCGAAAGCGUUAAGUAUUCCACCUGGGGAGUACGCCGGCAACGGUGAAACUCAAAGGAAUUGACGGGGGCCCGCACAAGCGGAGGAACAUGUGGUUUAAUUCGAUGAUACGCGAGGAACCUUACCCGGGCUCAAACGACACAGGAAUGAUCUGAGAAAUCAGGCAGUCCUUCGGGACCUGUGUCGAGGUGCUGCAUGGUUGUCGUCAGCUCGUGCCGUGAGGUGUCGGCUUAAGUGCCAUAACGAGCGCAACCCCCAUCGACAGUUGCCAGCAGGUCAAGCUGGGCACUCUGUCGAGACUGCCGGCGCAAGCUGUGAGGAAGGCGGGGAUGACGUCAAAUCAGCACGGCCCUUACGUCCGGGGCGACACACGUGUUACAAUGGCAGGUACAGCGGGAAGCCACCUGGCGACAGGGAGCGGAACCCGAAAGCCUGUCUCAGUUCGGAUUGGAGUCUGCAACUCGACUCCAUGAAGCUGGAUUCGCUAGUAAUCGCGCAUCAGCCACGGCGCGGUGAAUACGUUCCCGGGCCU